GAUGAACGCUGGCGGCGUGCCUAAUACAUGCAAGUCGAGCGACCAGACGAGGAGCUUGCUCCUCUGACGUUAGCGGCGGACGGGUGAGUAACACGUGGAUAACCUACCUAUAAGACUGGGAUUACUUCGGGAAACCGGCGCUAAUACCGGAUAAUAUAUUGAACCGCAUGGUUCAAUAGUGAAAGGCGGUUUUGCUGUCACUUAUAGAUGGAUCCGCGCCGCAUUAGCUAGUUGGUAAGGUAACGGCUUACCAAGGCAGCGAUGCGUAGGCGACCUGAGAGGGUGGACGGCCACACUGGAACUGAGACACGGUCCAGACUCCGACGGGAGGCAGCAGUAGAGAAUCUUCCGCGAUGGGCGAAAGCCUGACGGAGCAACGUCGCGUGAGUGAUGAAGGUCUCCGGAUGGGAAAACGCUGUUAGCAGGGAAGAACAAAUGUGUAAGCAACUAUGCACGUCUUGACGGUACCUGAACAGAAAGCCCCGGCUAACUCCGUG
This 497-nucleotide ribosomal RNA is filed under the name uncultured bacterium. RNAcentral describes it as "partial 16S ribosomal RNA". It matches the Rfam family "Bacterial small subunit ribosomal RNA", at positions 28 to 507 of the family's 1533-position model. The record is from RNAcentral.